RNAcentral lists this long non-coding RNA (895 nucleotides) under Vigna radiata. Its description in RNAcentral is "long non-coding RNA (VRAD_LNC016050)". The record is from RNAcentral. Lineage: Eukaryota; Viridiplantae; Streptophyta; Magnoliopsida; Fabales; Fabaceae.
GGUGAAUGAGAAAGUGAGGAAAUCUCUCUAAAAUGCUUUUGAAAUUGAAAGAAGAGUGCCAGGGCUUAGGGAGACCGCUCAGGCGAAAUGCAAAGAAGGGUUUCAAAGUGAAAAAUGUGAAAAACCGCUUAGCUUUUAAGCAAAGCCCAACCCAUCAGUGCCGCAACCGCUCAACGGUUUGCGCCUGAUUUCUCUUCUUCCUCUUUUGCUUUCUUUUGAGUAAUCUUCCCUUCUAGCACUUAAUUUCAACCUUCAAUUUUCAAAUAUAUAUCUUUCCCCUCUCAGAUGCAAUCAUUAACAUGUGUUGAAAAAUUGGCAAGUGUACCAAAUCGUACAAGUAAGAUAAAUGGUAAGACCAAGUAUCGUUUUUCCCAAGAGACUCGUAUGGCUUUCUCGUUCGCGUGAAUUAAAAUAAUAAGACUUGAAAAAAUAAAAAUUAAUAAAUUGGUUUUGAGACAAAAUAUAUUAACAUGCAAAGAUAAAGUUGAUUCAAUUGACAAACGAAAACAAUGGAGGAAUGGAUGUUGUUGGGUACUAACAAUUUCAUCUAUUCCGCUCUCUCUUACAUACUACCCUUGAAUAUUAGAUUGAUUCAAUUGUUAUGCGACUUUCUUAGCCUCCCCUUAACCCAAUCCCUCGGUGAAAAGGGCCUAAUAUUAACAACUGGCUUGCUAUCCCUAGCCUCCCCUAGUAAUUAAUACCGCAUUAUAAAUAGAAGUUAACGCAAUUGAUCGUCCUACCCCUAUCCCUAGGUGGUAUUGCAAAAUCAAGAGAUUACUCACCAGUUCAUCUCAUUAUUGUACGUCCCCAUAUCAAUAACGACAAACAUCAAUAUACCGAAUGAGUUAAACGAUAAAGGCCUUAAGCACAGAUGAUAACCCAACAAUAAUCAAUC